UACGGAUGAUGAUUAGUCCUAAGUGCUUCCC
Molecule: non-coding RNA, 31 nt
Filed under: Homo sapiens (human)
Lineage: Eukaryota; Metazoa; Chordata; Mammalia; Primates; Hominidae
Source: RNAcentral